This 309-nucleotide ribosomal RNA is filed under the name uncultured bacterium. Its description in RNAcentral is "bacterial SSU rRNA". It matches the Rfam family "Bacterial small subunit ribosomal RNA", at positions 28 to 347 of the family's 1533-position model. The record is from RNAcentral.
GAUAAACGCUGGCGGCGUGCCUAACACAUGCAAGUCGAACGCCCUUUUGCGCAAGUGAGAGGGAGUGGCGGACGGGUGAGUACCACGUGGGUACCUACCUUGAGGUGAGGAAUACCACCGAGAAAUCGGUGACAAGACCGCAUACGCUCGGGCAACCGAGCAAAGUCAUGCAAAUGACGCCACAAGAUGAGCCUGCGCCUGAUUAGCUGGUUGGUGAGGUAACAGCUCACCAAGGCGACGAUCAGUAGCUGGUCUGAGAGGAUGAUCAGCCACACUGGGAUUGAGAACGGCCCAGACUCCGUACGGGGG